RNAcentral lists this non-coding RNA (27 nucleotides) under Rattus norvegicus (Norway rat). The record is from RNAcentral. Lineage: Eukaryota; Metazoa; Chordata; Mammalia; Rodentia; Muridae.
UUUUCUGUGACAAAAUACCCGACAAGA